AUUGAACGCUGGCGGCAUGCCUUACACAUGCAAGUCGAACAGCAGCGCGGGAGCAAUCCUGGCGGCGAGUGGCGAACGGGUGAGUAAUAUAUCGGAACGUGCCCAUUAGUGGGGGAUAGCCCGGCGAAAGCCGGAUUAAUACCGCAUACGACCUGAGGGUGAAAGCGGGGGAUCGCAAGACCUCGCGCUAUUGGAGCGGCCGAUAUCAGAUUAGCUAGUUGGUGGGGUAAAGGCCUACCAAGGCAACGAUCUGUAGUUGGUCUGAGGGGACGACCAGCCACACUGGGACUGAGACACGGCCCAGACUCCUACGGGAGGCAGCAGUGGGGAAUUUUGGACAAUGGGCGCAAGCCUGAUCCAGCAAUGCCGCGUGCAGGAAGAAGGCCUUCGGGUUGUAAACUGCUUUUGUCAGGGAAGAAAUCCUUUGGGCUAAUACCUCGGAGGGAUGACGGUACCUGAAGAAUAAGCACCGGCUAACUACGUGCCAGCCGCCGCAGUAA
This 500-nucleotide ribosomal RNA is filed under the name uncultured bacterium. Its description in RNAcentral is "partial 16S ribosomal RNA". It matches the Rfam family "Bacterial small subunit ribosomal RNA", at positions 30 to 523 of the family's 1533-position model. The record is from RNAcentral.